Molecule: long non-coding RNA, 150 nt
Organism: Bufo bufo (common toad)
Lineage: Eukaryota; Metazoa; Chordata; Amphibia; Anura; Bufonidae
Exons: 3
Source: RefSeq, a predicted model, not a curated record
CUUAUGCAUAGCAAAAUUUUGUGACGUAUUACAACAAUUCUGACUUCGGAUUUGUAAUCCGCACACUCGAUUUAGUAUAGGACAAAUGAUUUUUGCCCAGUAGCAGACGAAAUGUUUUUUGUUGUUGCGUGGUGACAGUCACUGGGUUCU